This 2708-nucleotide long non-coding RNA is filed under the name Equus caballus (horse). RNAcentral's name for it is "lncRNA (ENSECAG00000033134.2)". The record is from RNAcentral. Lineage: Eukaryota; Metazoa; Chordata; Mammalia; Perissodactyla; Equidae.
UCAUCCCAACUCUCCCGGCUCUUGGGAUCCUAAACCCUCAUGGACUCUGCCUACCUAGAAGGCAUCUCGUUUUCAAGACCCCUCCAUGGACAUCUCUGCACAGAUGACUGUGAAAUUAUGCCUUCAGCAAGAUUUGUUUCUACUUUCUCCUAUGACGGAAGGUUUCCUCUUGAAUAUUUCUUUAUCACAAAUUCAACAGGUGAACCCCUCAGCGGAAGACACUCUCGCACAACUGGCCCACCCAAGUCAGCCAACUCUAAAUGCCUUCAAAAGAACAACUUGUGUGGACGAGCUUGUCAGCCAGCCCUGUACUGUGCCACCUGCCAGGGUGAGGGGUAGGCAGUGAACCCACAAAUGAGCCCCCAGCCUUUCAGCACGUGACCUGUUCCAAACUUGAGCCCAGAGUAAGCUUACAUAACUUGACAGAAGGGCCCGGGACAAAGUCUGUGAGCUCAGAAAGCUCUUCGACUGAAAAAGCCAACACGUAACUGGAGCAACCUCGUUACUUUGUGCAGAGUUCUCAAUGAUGAAAGCAUGCUGAUGUUUUUAUUCAUGCUCGCUGAUUUAAUCAAGGGGCUGGAAUUUUAUUUUCCUCACCAGCAGAGGAUGAGUGGGCGUCAUUGCAUCGAAGCCAGUUCCCCUCCGUCUACCAGGCUGACACCCAAACGUGUGGAGCCGCCUGCCAGAAACAGCAACAUCUAAUGGGGCCGCCGCCCCUCUCUUCCUUCAGGAGCCCAAGUACCGCGUGAUUCAGCCUCCGCUGGCUUCAGCCUCGACUGCACGGCGGCAGAGAAGGAGCGCCGUGAUUGCAGCAGCAGCUCAGUCACCCCGUCCUCAACUCUCAGAGGCGGCACUGACCCUGGGGACCACCCUCCACCCCCUGCAGGGAGGAAACAGGAAAGGAAGAAACGGAAAAAUGAUUCUGGCAACGGCCAAGGAUUCCUGAGUUUGAAGGCUGGCCUCCCACCUCUGCCUCAUCCCCUCCUCCAUGCUCAGGAAAAAAAAAAAGGGAAAAAUAGAAAUAAAAAAGCUCUAGUUGUCUCUAAUUGCUGCAGUUGGCUGAGCUUUCUCUCCCAUCAGCAGGAGAGUGCAUUUCCUCAUCCAUCACAACAUUCAGAUAGCCCGGCUCAUGCCCUACAAGUGUCAUUCUGUCCAGUGACAAACAGAUUUCAAUUGUCAUUUACCUGAGCUGCAUUUUAAAAUGGAACUCAAGGGACUGUGGAGGCAGAACCCCCCAGCUCCCCAGAUGUCGGCAACGAGCAGUGCUGGGGCGCUGCACGUAUGUCUCCCUUCCCGGGUAGUUUUGCAUCCUUUAGUUCCGGUUUGUGCUGCUUGCGGUGGGCUGCCGGGUCUGUUUUGAUCAGGAUAAAGUAAGCGGUGUUUGGGGACAUGAUAUCUGAUGGCUGAAGGGAGAGGCGGUGGCCGAGCUGCUCUGGCUGCUGACCACCAACCACACUUAACUGCUGAGAUGUCAGAACAUUCAAAACAGUGUUCCCUCCUGCUGACUCAGUCCUGGGUGUCACAUGUCUUCAAGGGCUGGUGAUGGCCGGGUCCCCUUCUAACUCACAUCCAAAGGCUUCAUCAUCCCAAAGUCAGAGCUGGCGCCAGCUCUGCCCAGGUUCGGGGGAGACGUUAGCCAACCUGUGGGAGCCACUACCUCCCCCAGCCGGACUCAGCACCCCCGAUCAGCAUGGGAAAUUCUUACACACGUAUCUACCUUGGACAGGUGAGCUGCAUUUUUUGAUCAUUUAUGCCCCAGGUGCUUUUUGACUUCUCAUACUGAAUGAGUACUACAUAUUACGUCUGACCAUCAUACAGCAGCUAAAACUGCACCAUUACAUCUUGCCCAUCUGCCACCGGGUCUAUAGUGCAGAUCCCAGCUCUCUCACUCAUUAGCUGUUUAACUGGUUGAAUCGCUUCACCACUCUGAGUCUCCAUUUCCCCACUAUAAAAACAAGGAAAGGGGCCCGUCUGGUGGCACAGUGGUUAAGUUCCUGCGCUCCCCUUCAGAGGCCCGGGUCAGCGGGUUCCAAUCCUGGCAUGGACCUACGCACCACUUAUUAAGCCAUGCUGUGGCAGCCGUCCCACAUAUAAAAAAUAGAGGAAGAUGGGCACAGAUGUUAGCUCAGGGCCAAUCUUCCUCAGCAAAAAGAGGAGGAUUGGUGGCAGAUGUUAGCUCAGGGCCGGUCUUCCUUGGAAAAAGAAAAACAACAAGGACAAUGGUCCCUCACUAAUCAGGGUUUUGGGACGCGAAAGGAGAAGAGGUAUCUGAAAACAUCCCCCCGGUGUCCAGGAUACGGAAGGCACUCACGUUAGUCCCUUCCUGCCUGCCAGUCCACAACCAUGCCACAGACCCGUGGUAAUCUGAGAAAAGAAGGUUAUUGCACCAGACUGUAUUCCCGGUUCAGGAGACAAACAACAAACAAACAAAACAACCUUACCUCCAAAGAAAAUAGACAAUAAAAUAGACAACAGAUUAUUGCCAUAAUUUAAUUCUACUUAGUAUGAGUAUAGUUUUUAUGAUAUUUGAUGUAGUAAUUAUUAUUGAACCUGUGAGGUUGUAGAUAAUCAGGUGUAUGAUGAUCUAAACCGUAUCGUGGUUAAAAUAGACGACGACUUUGGUAAGCUAUUCCACUGGUGGCUAUGAUGACAUUGUACCUACCAAGAUCUUAAAAUCUUUGUUUCCUUUCUUGCACGUUUCUCUCAAG